UACGUAAGUGGCGAGCGUUAUCCGGAAUCACUGGGUGUAAAGGGUGUGUAGGCGGCGAUGUAAGAUUCAUAUAUAAUGACAGGGCUCAACCCUGUUUUUGUGUGAAAGACUGCAUUGCUGGAGUGACGAAGAGGAAACUAGAACUCCAGGUGUAGCGGUGAAAUGUGUAGAUAUCUGGGGGAAUACCAAUGGCGAAGGCAGGUUUCUGGUUGUCAACUGACGCUGAGACACGAAAGCGUGGGGAUCAAACGGGAUUAGAUACCCCGGUAGUCCACGCAGUAAACGAUGUUCACUAGGUGUAGGAGGUAUCGACCCCUUCUGUGCCGAAGCCAACGCAUUAAGUGAACCACCUGGGGAAUACGAUCGCAAGAUUAAA
This 376-nucleotide ribosomal RNA is filed under the name uncultured bacterium. RNAcentral describes it as "bacterial SSU rRNA". It matches the Rfam family "Bacterial small subunit ribosomal RNA", at positions 524 to 898 of the family's 1533-position model. The record is from RNAcentral.